RNAcentral lists this ribosomal RNA (253 nucleotides) under uncultured bacterium. RNAcentral's name for it is "partial 16S ribosomal RNA". It matches the Rfam family "Bacterial small subunit ribosomal RNA", at positions 524 to 776 of the family's 1533-position model. The record is from RNAcentral.
UACAGAGGGGGCGAGCGUUGUUCGGAAUUACUGGGCGUAAAGGGCGCGUAGGCGGCCUUCUAAGUCGAACGUGAAAUCCCCGGGCUCAACCCGGGAACUGCGUCCGAUACUGGGAGGCUUGAAUCCGGGAGAGGGAUGUGGAAUUCCAGGUGUAGCGGUGAAAUGCGUAGAUAUCUGGAGGAACAUCGGUGGCGAAGGCGGCAUCCUGGACCGGUAUUGACGCUGAGGCGCGAAAGCCAGGGGAGCAAACGGG